GAUGAACGCUGACAGAAUGCUUAACACAUGCAAGUCGAGCGGAAACGACACUAACAAUCCUUCGGGUGCGUUAAUGGGCGUCGAGCGGCGGACGGGUGAGUAAUGCCUAGGAAAUUGCCUUGAUGUGGGGGAUAACCAUUGGAAACGAUGGCUAAUACCGCAUAAUGCCUACGGGCCAAAGAGGGGGAUCUUCGGACCUCUCGCGUCAAGAUAUGCCUAGGUGGGAUUAGCUAGUUGGUGAGGUAAUGGCUCACCAAGGCGACGAUCCCUAGCUGGUCUGAGAGGAUGAUCAGCCACACUGGAACUGAGACACGGUCCAGACUCCUACGGGAGGCAGCAGUGGGGAAUAUUGCACAAUGGGCGAAAGCCUGAUGCAGCCAUGCCGCGUGUAUGAAGAAGGCCUCGGUUGUAAGUAC
Molecule: ribosomal RNA, 416 nt
Filed under: uncultured bacterium
Lineage: Bacteria
Description: bacterial SSU rRNA
Rfam family: Bacterial small subunit ribosomal RNA
Source: RNAcentral